GUGGGUGGCUCACAGGUUAAGAGUAUUGACUGUUCCUCCAAAGGACCUGGGUUCAAUUCCCUGCACCCACA
Molecule: transfer RNA, 71 nt
Filed under: Mesocricetus auratus (golden hamster)
Lineage: Eukaryota; Metazoa; Chordata; Mammalia; Rodentia; Cricetidae
Rfam family: tRNA
About the family: Transfer RNA (tRNA) molecules are approximately 80 nucleotides in length. Their secondary structure includes four short double-helical elements and three loops (D, anti-codon, and T loops).
Source: Rfam by way of RNAcentral